Molecule: ribosomal RNA, 465 nt
Filed under: Vreelandella stevensii
Lineage: Bacteria; Pseudomonadati; Pseudomonadota; Gammaproteobacteria; Oceanospirillales; Halomonadaceae
Description: partial 16S ribosomal RNA
Rfam family: Bacterial small subunit ribosomal RNA
Source: RNAcentral
CCUACGGGCGGCAGCAGUGGGGAAUAUUGGACAAUGGGCGAAAGCCUGAUCCAGCCAUGCCGCGUGUGUGAAGAAGGCCUUCGGGUUGUAAAGCACUUUCAGUGGGGAAGAAAGCCUUGGGGCUAAUACCCUCGAGGAAGGACAUCACCCACAGAAGAAGCACCGGCUAACUCCGUGCCAGCAGCCGCGGUAAUACGGAGGGUGCGAGCGUUAAUCGGAAUUACUUGGCGUAAAGCGCGCGUAGGCGGUCUGAUAAGCCGGUUGUGAAAGCCCCGGGCUCAACCUGGGAACGGCAUCCGGAACUGUCAGGCUAGAGUGCAGGAGAGGAAGGUAGAAUUCCCGGUGUAGCGGUGAAAUGCGUAGAGAUCGGGAGGAAUACCAGUGGCGAAGGCGGCCUUCUGGACUGACACUGACGCUGAGGUGCGAAAGCGUGGGUAGCAAACAGGAUUAGAUACCCCGGUAGUC